ACCACCCCCCCGGCGAGUACGGGAGUGCGGGUAGCGGUAAGGGAGCGGCAGCAGGGGCUGCGCGUUUCCUUACGUCUCGGGUUGCCGGUUAACGGGGGGUAAGUAACAUUCGCUGCCUCCGUAGGCAAUGAUGAGCUUUGAGGAGAGUGGUAAUUUUAAAAAGGAAAUGUCUUCUCAUCAGCGCGUCCUUUGUUCCAAAUGUAUUCUGAAGGGAAAUCAGGAAAUGAAAGAAAGGAACAUUGCGUUUUGGUUCUGACUUUAAGGAAGGAGACGUGCCCACCGAUAGUUAUUAAUCAUCAGUAAUGUACUUAGAAACAUACGUGUCUUUAAACUGCUCUUCAAAGUUGGCACGGGGACCGAUGAACUGCGCUCCCUAGAAAACGGGAAGUUCAGAUCCAGACUUUCCCUUCCUUCGUCUUUCAAUACAGGUAUAUCCCUGGUAAACCGUGGUUUGUUAAGCAAUAAAUUCAAGAGUCAAAUACAGGUGGAACUGCUGCAGUGCCUCAGCAUCACAGCUGCCUCCGUGUGCUAAGUGCUGCAGACCCACUAGGGCGUGCAGGCACUGCUCUGCUGAAAUACCACUCGUGGUCCUACUUGAUGCCUUUGUUACACAGAGCCGUGUAGCGAUCUGUGGGUUCAGUGAGGUAACCUAAUGUAGGCAGGCCAGCCCCCCAGGAAGAUGCUCACUGAGUGAGCAGAGCUGGAAAGGACUUUCAUGCAGAAAUACCUGACGAGUGCAGAGAUCAGGUGAGAACAUGCAGAUGCAGCCUGCUUGGGUGGGGGUGGGCAGUACAGCCUUGCAGUUGAGAUCGAGGAAAUGCUUGGUUGCAGCUCACUAAUGUUACUCUGUUUUUCAGUGAUACCUUUUCGAGUCCUGAAGAAGUCUACCGCAAGCAGCGAGCAGAUAGUAUAGUACUCUUGGCCACUUUGGGCUAGAGAAUCACUUUGGUUUUUCCAGCCUCUACUGCCUUCAUUUCUGACCUGUGAUUUCACCAGAUGGCGAACAACAUAACUGUAUUUGUGGGGAAUACAAAGAUUGGCUGAUAGGUAAUGGAGGACGCCUGUUGUUUACCCACACUUGCAUCAUUGUGCACCUGAAAUAUACAAAAGCAUGUGGAAGCUGCUUUGACCAUCCAUGUAGGGCCAUGACAUACACAAGAACUGAUUAAAAUGAAGGUUUUUGGUCGGCAUCCAUAUACGCAAACCAAAGAUGGAAGAGCUGCAUCUCAAAUAUCCAACUGUGUUCCUACUCAGCAAUGCCAGGGGUUAGAGGUAAGUGUGCUUAUGUGAGUUCUUAUGCUUGGUGCAUUGUGGGCUUGCAGUUUGUGAAAAAAUGGCCUUGAAAAAAGAUGUCAGGAUGUUCUUGCAGCUUCGCAGAUGGCCAGAGGCAGGCUGGAAUAUGUAUGUGUGUAGUGCCCCAGUAUCCAUCAGCUUCUGAAAUACAAGUGAAAGCAGUAUUUCUCUUGCUGUUUUACAUCCCAGACUUGGUACGAGCAAGCACAGAUGUGUCUUUUGUGCAGGAGAGGGAAGGAAGAGAGAGCCAAAUGAAAAAUCCUGAAUGACAACAUCUCCAAGUAUCACAGCAGUACCUUCUAAAGCUGGAAGAUAAAGCUGAUGAGGUGGUUACCAUGGCUACAGAAGCGGCAUAUUUGAAUGAAAAUUGAUUUUAAGCUUUUAAAUGCUAAUUGCAUCUGUGAACAGGUGACAUUUGAAAUAUCUUUUUCUCCCUCCUCCCUCCCCCCAUAUGUUGCAGAGUAUAAUGAGUGAAAGAAGAGGGUGACAAAGGUGACAACACACUGUUAAAUUAGAACACUGAUACAGUCUUCAACACUAAAGUAUGUCACACCAUUUGCUUGUGUAGUAGUACAAGUAAUAAGUGAACACAUAUAUAGAUCACAGUGUCUGAGGAGCAGAAACUGUCUAGAACCCAAUUAAUAUAUUUUUCAUGGUAUUGUGAAAAAUUAAACAGCUUUAUUUAAAUUAAUCACCAGAACAAUUGUUUCUGGUAGCUCAUAAUAAAGAGGCUAUUAAAACUUACCAUUCAGAAACUGCUAUAAAUUCUCAGUGAUGAGGAAGCUUUGCAAAUGCCUGGAAUUAGAAGCAUUUCUUAUUUCACUCUGUACACUGGGAAAUAAAGUUGAACUUCUACACAGUAGUAGACUCAGACUAGGGAACCAAGAUGCUGUGUAGACUGGUGUUACUGUGCAACUGCUGCUAAUUGCUGUCACACCACUGUCUGACCACACUCAGGCUGUAGUUGCAGAAGACAUAGAAGGUGUAAUUUACCUCACUGUAAGCAUAGUUUUAAUAUGAUCUGAAAGCUCUUUAACUUGCAGUGGGUUACAUUCCACUUGUUAGCGCUUGCUUUUCGAAACACUCUUGAUAUGAUUACUGUUUAAGACAUGAUCAGUUGUAAUGCAGAUUUAUAUUUUGUUAAAUUAAUUGUAAAAUUGUAAAUAAAAAUUGUAAAUCUGUGAGGGGUUUCAGAUUAUUUUAGUUUUUUGUUUGUUUGUUUGUUUUUCAUUUUUGUUUUUUAAUAUGCAGUGUGAGAAAUCUGGUGGUUUUGGCUGUGUUCUGCUUAGUUACAAUGAGCACUGUAACAUCCUUUGGUAAGGAGGCUAAAUUUUUGAUUCAGAGUUACUGCUAAUGAACACU
Long non-coding RNA from Gallus gallus (chicken), 2655 nucleotides. RefSeq lists it as uncharacterized. The transcript has 3 exons. The record is from RefSeq and is a predicted model, not a curated record. NCBI's taxonomy places the organism in Eukaryota, Metazoa, Chordata, Aves, Galliformes, Phasianidae.